Long non-coding RNA from Brassica rapa (field mustard), 9723 nucleotides. RefSeq lists it as uncharacterized. Lineage: Eukaryota; Viridiplantae; Streptophyta; Magnoliopsida; Brassicales; Brassicaceae. The record is from RefSeq and is a predicted model, not a curated record.
CUCUACCCCUCAACUCUAAACCCCAAGUCUAGAUUAGUUAACCCUAUGAGUAUAAAUGUUUUUUUAUCCUUCAUUAAAAAUGAAGGUAAAAGUGGUUAGUGUAAACAUGAAAAGUGGUACUAUGAAUGUGGUAUUUGUGGUAAUUUCUCCAAAAUCUUUUAAGAAUCUUUUCAGUUGCAUUUUUCAAAUUUAUUUCUGAAAAUUGAUUAAUUUAAAAUUUUCUUAUCAUAAAAUAUAAUCAUAAAUUUAAUUUAAUUUAUUUUUAAUUUAUAAACGAAACUUAAAAAUUAUAUAAAAUAUAUUAAUGAUAAUAACAACUCAACAUUAUUAUUUUUCAAAAAUAGAUUUUACAAAGAUUCUGUUGGAAAGAAAUAUCCAUUUCUAUUUCUAUUUAAAUUUUAAAAUAAAUAUCUUAUUUAUUAAACACAUAAGUCAUGACUUAUUACAUGUGUCAUUUUUUUAAUUAAACUAUCUUUUUGAGGUCACAAUUUUAAAUGUAUCUAUCAUGUAACAUUACAAUUUAUGUCAAUAAUUUCUAAGACAACUAUAAUAUUCUUAUUAAUGGUUAAAUUUUAAUUUACACCCUCUUUCGAAGAUGAAACAUUUAAUCUUUUUACAUAUGGUGUAUAUAAAGUUUUACUCAAUUAUUAUUAGCGUUUAUAUAUUUUACUGAGUACUAUGUCAUCCAUACCUUCUGCAUGUCGAAGGUAGAAGAUACGGACAGUUCCGUCAUUCUGCACUCAUUAAACCUAAAAUUAAAAUAUAGUCCAACACAUGCACCAACUCCUUCGAACCCAAGACCAUAAGGUUAACCAACACGGCUAUAAACACUAGGGCAAGCUGAUUUUCUUAGUAUCAUUCAUAUAAGAUACAUAUUAUACAUUCAUGUAUUUUAAAAAUUAAAAAUAGACUCAAAAUUAAUCCAUGAGUAAUCCAUGAUAAAUCCUUGAUUUUUUCAUUAGGUGCUAGGUCAUGCCCGAACGUACGGAUAGCGCCUAGCGAUUUUAUUAGCAAGCUCUAAAACGCUCUCUGUGCACCCGCUUAUUCGCCAGAAAGCUGUUACAUGCUGAUCGACCAUGGCGAAUUAGAUUUAUUCGAGCAAUUAAUCGCCCCAAAGUGAAAAGUUCAUUGUUUUGUACUUGUGCAUCUAAAAAUCGCACGCUAUGCUAUAGAUUUUAUAUACUUGGGUUAAAACUCGUAAGAUUAUGACAAAAUACAAUGAAAUCGUGAAAAACAAAUACAAAAAACAAUUGUUGAGUUGCAUGUCGAAGGUAGAAGAUAAGGACAGUUUCGUCAUACUGCACUCAUUAAACCUAAAAUUAACAAAUAGUACAAAACAUGCACCAAUUCCUUCUAACCCGAAACCUUAAGGGUUAACGUCCUCGGCUAUACACACUAGGCCAUGCUGAUUUUCUUAGUAUCAUUCACAUAAGCUACAUAUUAUCCAUGUAUGUAUUUAAAAAAAUAAAAAUAGACUCAAAAUUAAUCCAUGAGUAAUCCAUGAUAAAUCCCUGAUUCUUUCAUUAGGCACUAGGCCGUACCCGAACGUACGUAUUCCGAACAAUGAUGGUAUGGUAUACUUAUUAUUAUUUUGUUUUCAAAUUCUUAAUGAAUAAAUUAAAGAAAAAUAAUAUUUUAAUAGAAAUAUUUUAUUUUCUUGUAGGAAUAUUGUAAGGGAUAAUGUAUCUCAUGAAGGAACAGAAUGAUCAAUCUUUUUCCAGUGUCAUUUCGAUUAUGGUUGAUUUUUUACAUUCAAACCAUGCAGUUGUAGUGGUGGUUUAGCUUAGGUUUGUUUAGCUAAGUUUUUUAAAGGUAAAAUGUUAAGAUUUUCUAGCUAAAUUUUUGUUGAUGGUUUUCUUUUUCAAUAAUAACAUUAUUGGUUUAAAAUCAUUGAUUAAUGAUAACACAUACAUUAUUUUUAUAAAAAUUUAUUAUUUUUAAUUAACUUAUUACUUAGAAAUAGGAAAAACUAAAAUAAGUAAACCAUCCAAUGAAUGCAUAACCAAUUUAGCAAUUUAUCUAUAAAAUUCAAUGAAUAUCUAAGUAAUAAAAGAAAAAAUGAGAAAAGAGACAAAAAACAUAAUUUAUUUAAGAUAUUAUGAAGUAUUCAUAAGACUUUUAAUUAGAUUUGUUAAUGUAUAGAUUACUUACACUAUUUUAAAGAUUUAUAUUAAUUAAUUUAUUUAUUUUUAUUAAAAGAAUAAUCUUUUAUGAUUUAUAUUUUAGAUACUAGAGUACUAAGGUUGCUCUUACAUAAUUUUAUAUAUAUAAUGUCUCAGCUGUACGUCCCUAGAAAAUACAACCAUCAAUUAGAAAACAAACACAUCAUUAAUUAGAAGAGUAUUAGGAUUAUGUCAUCAUCACAUCUUGCUAUCAUGUGUCUCAUCAUGAUUUCUCUUGUUCCUCUACAUCAAUUGGGAAAUGCAGAUGGUUUAGAAUUCGACAGAAAAUGCGUCCGUCUCCUUGGAUGUACCGGAAGACGUUGUAUUUGCUGUAACAACGCACCGGAAAUAUUAAAAUGUUAUGAUACACAAGCAGCAUGCAUGGCUCAUUGCACGAACCCAACUAUUUGAGUGGCUUAAAUGUUAAAAAAAAAAUAAAACAUAACCAUGUAUCUCAAUAAAUAUAAUAUAUAUUAUAAAAUAAAGAUGUUAAUAAAAUUUUACUUUGGGUAUCACAAUAUAUUUAUAUAUAUAUAUCUAGCAUCUAAUUUAUAAUAUACGUAUGAUUAAGAAUAAUACAAAUUUGUGUAGCAGAAAAAAAAAUGAUUUUGUCGUUGUGUGCAACACUGUUGACAUGCUUCGACAUUCACAUUUUCUCUCUUCUUUUUCUUUGUAUUUUGUAUUCUUGAUCUGCUCUUUUUUUCUCUACUUGCAGUUUGUACAUGGUUUUAAGCUUCUCAAUAAAAAAAUAUCUUAAGCUUUUCUUUCUCGCUAAAGUUUCCCCUACUAUAUACUACCAUGUUCCUCGUUACUUUUCCUCAUACUUCCACACAAACAGAUAUAAUAUCGAUCCACACAAACCUCUCGUCGUCAAUCGAUGGUGACGUGCUAAGACGAGCCGACUUGUUCGUGGCCAACUUAAGCCCAGAAGAUCCACAUAAUUAUAAGACUACCAUUGGCCGCCUUUUACCUAGUAUUUAUGUGUCUGCCAUUGUAUUAGGAAAAAUACAAUGUUUUAUAUCUUUAUUCACAUCAUAUAGUUUUAGGGUUUUCAGUAGAUUUGUAACGAAGAUCCAAAACUCCUUUAGAGCUCGUAUUGGAACUCCAUUGAUUUAUUACUCUAUUCUAUUUAUUCAUUUUAUUAAGACUAUUGAUAUGUUUUGCUUUAUCAUAUCUGAGUAGUUUUCCUUGUUAGAUUUAGGAUUAAUUAAUGUUUUGAUGCAUUAGCCAAAACUAUUGAAUUGCUAGGAUGAUUACAUAGAUAUCAAUCAUUAGAAUUGCAUGUACAUACUACAUGUCGAACAAAUAAAUAUCAAUCAUUAGAAUUAAUGUUUGACAUGUACAUACCACAUGUCGAACAAAUAGAAGAGAUUCCUUCAUAUGAAACAAAAUACCUCUCACCAUUCACCAUCACUGUCUCCUUCAAUGGCUUAUUAAAGUUUACCUCCACACAAAUUCUCGCAUAUCUAGCUCUUUUAAAUUUUAAAGUUGUCAAAUCUACUUUGAUCGGCCGCCCUAAACCUUUGGCUAUUCCCAUCAGUAUCGUCUUAUGGUAGAAAUUCACUGGAAUAUGUGAUAAACGAAUCCAAACCGGUGUCGUAACUAUCUCAUCCUUCAACGGGUCGAACACAGGAGACCAUGCUUGUGCCAUAAGGUAACUGCCAAACGCCCUCCACGAGCCACCUGAUAGUGCAGCCAUGUACUCCUCCUCCAACUUAAAGCGUACCAUAAAGAAGUGUCUGGGAAGAUCCAUAACAAACAUCGACCUUUUAGGCUUCCAUAACUCCUUUAUCUUUCAACUCAGACUCAAGAUCGGGACGUUUCUCCCCAGAACACUAACGAUCAUAUAUCUCUUCCACAAGCCAUUCAUAGCCGUCAACACCUCCUCUCCUAUCGUUAUCACCGGUUCUCCAUCCUCCCCAUUCGGAAAUUCCAAUCUUAAUCUCGACUCCACAAACUUUUCAUCCACAACUUCCUCUGGGACAAGCAUCCAUCCCUCAUUGCACCCUACUACUUUCCUCACCCAAGAUCCAGGAGCAUCUGGCGGCUCUCCCGGUGGCCUUCUCUUUUCUCUGAUAUCCUCCAUAGUAGCAUUUUUUCCUUCCUCCUCCAAAACCCUAAGAUCGCCUCCUGAAACUCUAGCCGUCAUGUUUUAUGGAGACUUUCUCUGGCUCUUUUUCAAGUUAUAAUAUAUUAAUAUGCAGCUUAUGUACUAGACUUAUAAAAACAUUCAUUGCAAUUAACUAAAAAAACCCACUAUAUUAUUUUACUUAGUUAGUCAGAAAGAGUUAAUUUGAUUAGUUAACUGUUUGUUUCAUUUUUAAUCUAAAGAUUUUUUUUCAGAAAUAUUAAAAUUUUGAAAACUAAUUUACCAAUUCCAGAUACAAAGAUUAUGAAUUUCAUUCUUAUAUGAAUAACACCAUGACUUUAAUAUUAAAUAUAAGUUGUUUCUUGAAUCUUUGUAUUCUUUUACAUUAGUAUGAAACAGUCUAUGUUUUAGAUUUUACAGAGAUGACAUUAUUUAUAGUGUUGAUACAAUUCAUGUACAGUAUCCAGUGUGUGGGCUUUUAUCCAGUAUCCAGUUACCGAACAAGAAAACUACAUAAGACCCAAUAGAGUUGUGAUAAAUCGUAGAGUAUUAGUUUAUGGAAUUACCCUUCAUGAAGCUAGCGAUUUCCUUUGUAAAUGAGUGGCAUAUGUAGUAAACAAAAGGGUAGCGUAGAGGUUAAAAUAGAUAGGAUCCUGCUUUAUCUUGGGAUUAUCGAUCAAAAGACAAAUGGACUCUUACUCAAGCAAGUUUUUGAACACACAGGUAGUAUUUUCAAGUUUCUUUCCUCUUUAUGUUCUCACUUCUCUCAGUCAUGUCUCUCUUUUAUAAAUGAUAUCAUUUUAUUUUUUUAAUUGACUGAGAUAUUUGGACAGGUUUGCAUGACCAUCUGGUUCUGCAGGUGGAGCCUUCCAAGGAGUCAUUCACUUUUGUGGAUUGUUCUCAGAUGAGCUCAGGAGGAAUUGUAAGAGACCUAGAGGUGCAUAUUUGUAAUGCCCUAGUUCCAGUUGAUUUCCAUGUCUUGGAUAUCAAGCUAAACUGGAACUCUUCUUUAUUACUUGGGAGAGCCUUCCUGUCAACAGUAGGAGCAGUGUGCAACAUGCAAACCAACCAAUUGUAACUGACGCUCAUAGAUCCUCAUGUCCACUACAACCAUGUUCCAGUCAAGAAGCCAGAAAACGUCCUCCAGAAGAAUAGAUGAUCCAGUUUUCAUCGCAGCAUGCCACUGUGGAGCCGAGUAUGAGACAGGAUAUUCGGUGUCGAUCGAAACUCACACCACCACAUCGAUCGACAGUGCCCACCAGAAACCGAUCGACAGUCCGAAGGAAGAAUCGGUCGACAGCAGUCCAAGCGAUUGGGAGAACGACUACUACAAUCCCACCAUGGCAACACACACCAGAGACACCAUGCAUACAGAGGAGUAUGAUGAAGAUUAUGAGGAGGAACGAGUUAUAGAGUACAUAGCCAUUCUUGAUGAGGAACAUCUACCUCUCCAUCAUUCCUCUUGGAAAGGGAAUUCGCCGUCGAUCGACAUAAUUGUCUCAACAUCGAUCGACACUCAUCUUCAUCAGACAAGCCAAAAUCGAGCAUCAACCGACAUUACCUACUACCCAUCGAUCGACACAGGAGUCGACCGUGCACGAGAAGGGGAUUACUCGAUUGGCAGUUGGGCUAAUGAUCACCAUCACGAAAGUUAUGCAGUCAAAACAGCAGUACAUGAGCCAGGAGCAGAUGAACUUCAUGAAGGUUUCACAUAUGAGGAACUUCUCAACAUGCAAAGAUGUGAUGAAGCAUAUCAACACCAAGCAGAAGCUUCUGGGGAAAGAACACCUUUCAGCCAUACUUUCGACAGAGCCAACCGCCCGUCAAUCGACGACAAACAUCCAUCAACGAUCGACAUCCGUCUGAAACCACCAUCCACUGUAGCGAAAACCCUAAUUAUGAUAAUCAGUAUCUAACACAUGAUGAGUUUGGUAUUUUCAGGGACCCAGAUGGCUAUGCAAGAGCAAUAGGUGGACAUGCACUGCAAGUAUCCAGAGAAGACAUUGCAGACAUUCUUCAGAUGGCUAAUGGAGCAGAUAAACUCUUCAUGCAACAAUGCAACAGUCCAGCACAUCAGCAUAGGGUUACAAACGAGUUCUAUGACACAGCUGGUGGCAUAGACAAUUGCCUCAAGCAGAAGUAUAGACAUCCUACUCGACCGUCGAUCGACGUUGACGUCCCUUCAUCGAUUGACAGACGUCCAGAAUUUGGCAAAAGAGCAUAUGACCGUUAUGGAACUAAGAGAUUCCACUGGGAAGAAAAAGAUGAGUAUGGAGUCUACAGAGAUGAUCAGGGACAUGCCAGAGAUGUAGACAGACACAUCAUCAAAGUAUCCAAGGAUGAUAUCAGAAGUCUUUUGAAGAGAGCUUCGAGAGAUGAGCACAGCUACAUAUGUCUUCCAAAACAUGCUAGCUCAUUCACACAUACCAAUUUGGUACCAUAGAUCUACACCAAGGACGAGAUCAAUGAGAUGUUCUAUGGAGUCUGUGGAGCCCAAAAAAAGAAUGAAGAUGAUUUACAGAUGAAGCUUGAUGGUGUCUACUAUCUACUGAAUGAUAGCAUCAGUUGGUUAACCACAUGCAUGGAGGAGAUGAGGCAAGACAUAGUCAAGACCCAAACACAGCGUGCAGCCGAAGCAACCGCACCAUCAUCGACCGACAGACACCAUUCAACAUCGAUCGAUGACGACCCACACCACUCACAUCCAAUGAAGUCUCCACCAGAUUCUUACACGAGAGCAGACAUUGAUCAGUUGGUAGAAAAGAUCUAUAAAACUCUGGAAACUACAGAAGAAAGGCUUGAUAGGAGAUGUGAUGACAUCUAUUUCCCGAUGGACCUUACAGUGAUACAAAGCUCGUCGACCAGAAGCAUCAACAUCGAUCGACAGACGCAACAACAAAUCAACCGACAGUUGCAGACGAACAUCAGUCGACGAAGCUACAAACCUAGGCAGGCUAGUACCAAAGGUGAAAUCAGACAUGUCUGAUACACACAACCAUGGAGAGGAGAUCUCAGCUGACACUUACGCCACACUUAUGAGACAUCAGUUCAACUUUGAAAGUCUUAAAGAUAGAUUGCAGAAGAUAGAGAAAACAACUGCAACAAUGAAGGACAAAUGGCACAGAGGAGAUGAAGCAAUGCGAGACUUCACUGGUACAUGGUUCAACAAGCGCAAAGAAAACAUGGACACUUGUUUCCCAGCGAGUUCCAGCUUUCAACCUUACUAGCCAAAUUGCCUCCAAAGUCAAGCUAAAUGACUAUAACAAAGCGCUGAGUGUGAGGCAACCCACUAUUAGAUAAUAUUUAAUUGAUCUUUAUUAAUUUAGUAUUUAUGCUGGUUUUUAAUUAUUGCAGGUAAGAAAAAACAAAAAAAAAAGAUCAGAGUAGAUGAUUACUAUGAGUAUCGACCGACGAACCACUGCUGACAUCGAGCGACAGAACAUCACCUGCUGUGACCGAUGUCAACACAUUUACAUCGAUCGACAUCUAAUUCGUUCUGGUAUAUCGUUCUUAACUUGUUACAUUGAGUCCUUAUGUUUUAGUUAUUCACAUAACUUCGGCUGAAUUUACACUGGGGACAGUGUAGUUUAAGUAUGGGGGAUGUUCACUGAUAUUAGUUUAUUCAUUAGUCUUAAUAAAAUAUUUUCAAAAAAAAAAUUUAUUAAGUUGAGAAGGGGAUAAUGAACUUUUUUAUUUUUGUUUAUUAUCUAACCACACCAUUAUAGACUUCUAGUUGCAGAUAACACUAACGAUACCAAAGUGGAUCAACCUGUCAACUAUGUUACACUUGCUGAGAAUGAUUUAAGGAACCAAAGCUGACCUCCAACUUAAUUGAGCUCAACUCUGCUUGUCUUGGGGUUUGGUAUAUAUGAGAUUGGAUUCUUCAAACAAGUCUGGAAGGUAAAGCCUUGUGUAAAAAUAUCACCAUCUCUCUCUUAAAUUUCGAAUUUAGGUUUUUAUAUUAUAAAAAAUUAUUAUUAUUUAUAAUUAGAAAUAGAGAAAUUUAGGAAAAAAUUCGAACAUGACUUGGUGGCUACAACUAUUAAGGCUUGCUUCAUAAGAAUUCUAUAGGUAAAGGAUUAGAACAUGACUUGAUGGCUACAACCAUUAAGGCUUGAUUCACAAAUAAUUCUAGGAAAUAGGUCAAAAAGAAGUGAACAUGAUUUGAUGGCUAAAACCAUUAAAGCUUGAUUCAUGGAAGCAUAUCCAACCUUGGUCAAUGAUGUUGCAAUUAAGCAGAUUUUGACUAGGGGAGAAAUUAGUAGAGAGAGAGAGAGGAUAUGAACUAUUAUUUACCUGCAGGUCCAGAUACUUGUUUGAGCAUCCUUGCAUCAUGUGAUCGAUAUCCCCAAGGUUAAACCUACACUUUAUUUAUAUAAGAAUUGUGGUUGGUAGAAGAGAUUGUCAGACAUGAUUUGCUAAGUUGUUGACUAGAUGAACUUGGUUGCUAUACUAGGAUAUGGUAUAGUGUGCUUCUGAGACUAGGACUUUCUAAGGUGUUGGUUCUAAGUUUUAAAAUUUGUGAGACCCUGCUGUUUUCAACUUUCAGAGAGACGGCAUGUAUGUUUUGUUUGAGGACAAGCAAAAAGGUAAGUCUGGGGGAGUUGAUAGACCAUGGAUUUGACCCACUUUUAUCCAUGGUUUAUAAGUGUUUUAACUACUAAUUAUUAUAUUAUAGAGUCUAUUUAGUAUAUUUAUAGGAUCAUGAGUGAUUUGGAGGAAAGUGAUGAUUUUGGAGCAUUUUUGGAGAUAUUUGAAGUAAGCACCCGGAGAUGACCAUCGAACACGACCAUCGGUUGACAUUGAAGAGGAAUAAUCGUUCGAUGUUCACAUCUUGACAUCGAUCGACAGCGAAGCGCGCAGGAAUCUCGGGACAGAAGAAACAUAAUGGGUAUGGUGAUAUUAUGCUUUGGCCCAUGAAGAUACAGCUGAGCGUCAGCUGAGAUCACGCUUUAUAAAGUCAUUGUCAACUGAUUAAAGAUUGUAUCGUGAGAUCUUCUUCUGUAACAAACAAACUGAUCUAGUGAAUUCCAGGAUGGAGAUCCUGAAGAGAGAAGUACCCAGGGUUAAGGGGAACUCUAUAAUAUCUUGUGUCUUUGUACUUUCUUUACAUUCUAAUCGCGUAAGCACACGAGUGAGCGAGAGAGAGAGAGAGAGAGAGAGAGAGAGAGAGAGAGAGAGAGAGAGAGAGAGAGAGAGAGAGAGAGCGAUAGAGAUCGAGUAGAGAACGAACGAGAUAUCAAGAACGUAUCUUCUACAAUAUCAAUUAACCAUCAAUCACAAAUUUAUUUCUCAACUCGUCAUUAUCUAAAUAAAUUCAAAACUAUUUUGGAAGUUCCAAGGAACAAUAAUAGAACGACAAUUCCACAGAAACAGCUUAAACAACAAAUCAUCAUCUUAUCCUGUAAGAAUCAACACAAUCAAAGAUUAUAGAUAAAGAUAACGUUGUGACUCGCGUACUUCACUCGCAAG